UACGGGAGGCAGCAGUGAGGAAUAUUGGUCAAUGGGCGGAAGCCUGAACCAGCCAAGUAGCGUGCAGGAUGACGGCCCUAUGGGUUGUAAACUGCUUUUAUACAGGAAUAAAGUUAGCCACGUGUGGUUAUUUGUAGGUACUGUAUGAAUAAGGACCGGCUAAUUCCGUGCCAGCAGCCGCGGUAAUACGGAAGGUCCAGGCGUUAUCCGGAUUUAUUGGGUUUAAAGGGAGCGUAGGCCGUCUGUUAAGCGUGUUGUGAAAUGUAGAUGCUCAACAUCUGAAUUGCAGCGCGAACUGGCAGACUUGAGUGUGCGCAACGUAGGCGGAAUUCGUGGUGUAGCGGUGAAAUGCUUAGAUAUCACGAAGAACUCCGAUUGCGAAGGCAGCUUACGGGAGCACAACUGACGCUGAAGCUCGAAAGUGCGGGUAUCGAACAGGAUUAGAUACCCUGGUAGUCCGCACGGUAAACGAUGGAUGCCCGCUGUUGACCCACUUGGGCCAGCGGCCAAGCGAAAGCAUUAAGCAUCCCACCUGGGGAGUACGCCGGCAACGGUGAAACUCAAAGGAAUUGACGGGAAGGGC
RNAcentral lists this ribosomal RNA (583 nucleotides) under uncultured bacterium. RNAcentral describes it as "bacterial SSU rRNA". It matches the Rfam family "Bacterial small subunit ribosomal RNA", at positions 340 to 924 of the family's 1533-position model. The record is from RNAcentral.